GUAGGUGGCAAGCGUUGUCCGGAAUUAUUGGGCGUAAAGCGCGCGCAGGCGGUUCUUUAAGUCUGAUGUGAAAGCCCACGGCUCAACCGUGGAGGGUCAUUGGAAACUGGAGAACUUGAGUACAGAAGAGGAAAGCGGAACUCCACGUGUAGCGGUGAAAUGCGUAGAGAUGUGGAGGAACACCAGUGGCGAAGGCGGCUUUCUGGUCUGUAACUGACGCUGAGGCGCGAAAGCGUGGGGGAGCAAACAGGAUUAGACACCCUGGUAGUCCACGCCGUAAACGAUGAGUGCUAAGUGUUAGGGGGUUUCCGCCCCUUAGUGCUGCAGCUAACGCAUUAAGCACUCCGCCUGGGAGUACGGCCGCAAGGCUG
RNAcentral lists this ribosomal RNA (371 nucleotides) under uncultured organism. Its description in RNAcentral is "partial 16S ribosomal RNA". It matches the Rfam family "Bacterial small subunit ribosomal RNA", at positions 527 to 896 of the family's 1533-position model. The record is from RNAcentral.